GCUAUACGCGUUGCAAAUAAAUCACAAACGUAUAGAUAUUAAUACAACUUAAGUUUCAGUAAGCAUUAAAGAUGCAACUGUCAUUUCUAUCAUUGGUUCUUGCCACAAUUUUUGUCAUGACGAUCAUAUACGCACCCGUGGAAGCAAACGCCGAUGCUGAUCCAGUGGGCGGAGUAAUUGACACGCUCAAGAAAGCAGUGUCAGGUGCAUUGAAUUUUUUGCUAAAUAUAGUAUAAAUAGAAAAUACGAACUAAGAUUUGUUAUCAUAUCGUACUUAUUCUUCAAAAGUGGCAUAAAUUUUAAAAAUUAAAUUUCCUGUACUUUUCAUGAUUUAUAACGUAAUGUUUGUUUAACUCUCGUAUUGUAAUAAUGCGAAAAUCACAUUUGUUGUCGUGUCUUGUUAUGUAUUGUUGUGUCACUUUAAAAGUAAGAAUGCAAUAUAUUAAUAAAAACUUGACUUGUAUUUAAAAGAAAGAAGUAGUUGCAUUUUUCGUGGAAUAAAGAUGAACAUUUGGAUGAAACUCACAACGGAAAAACUGGGAAAAUGAUUGCAAUGAAAAUGUGACUUUACAACGUAUAAUAUGCAUAUAAAUAUUGUUGCGCCCCUGCCUCUGUAUCUUCUAAUUGCGGCUUGAGUCGAGCGACCGCGCGAAGUAUCGCGCGAAGUGAAGAAAGAAGAAGACGGUUGCAGGGGGCAACGUGGUGUCGUCGUUCCGUCACGACUUUCGACGUGUACAUUAUAAAAUACCGCUUGCGACAUAAAAAGACGAUUUAAUUAGCAAUAAACGUUUCGUUAAUUUUUUAAAAGAGUGUGUUAUAUUUAUUUCCCCCGCGUGCGUCCGGGAGUGCCGAUUUCGACUCGCGCGCAAGUGCUCUGCGACGAGCGCAACAAUAUUAUAAUUUAUAGUUUCAAACAAAAAAUUAUAUCUGUAUGUCUCUGUUAUAUUCGUUUUUUUAUUAUGAUAUAGUAAACGACAAGUAUGCAUCAUUGACAUAUUGUGUUUUAUUCAUACAAGUUUAAUGACAUUGUAUUUUUAUUAUAAUUUGUGAUCUUCUACGUUGGAUUUGGGGAAUAAAAAUAGUAUUUAGACAACA
Wasmannia auropunctata (little fire ant) is the source of this 1095-nucleotide long non-coding RNA. RefSeq lists it as uncharacterized. The record is from RefSeq and is a predicted model, not a curated record. Lineage: Eukaryota; Metazoa; Arthropoda; Insecta; Hymenoptera; Formicidae. The transcript is spliced from 2 exons.